This 253-nucleotide ribosomal RNA is filed under the name uncultured bacterium. RNAcentral describes it as "partial 16S ribosomal RNA". It matches the Rfam family "Bacterial small subunit ribosomal RNA", at positions 524 to 776 of the family's 1533-position model. The record is from RNAcentral.
UACGUAGGGUGCGAGCGUUAAUCGGAAUUACUGGGCGUAAAGCGCGCGCAGGCGGUUUUGUAAGACAGGUGUGAAAUCCCCGGGCUUAACCUGGGAACUGCAUUUGUGACUGCAAGACUAGAGUGUGGCAGAGGGGGGUAGAAUUCCUCGUGUAGCGGUGAAAUGCGUAGAUAUGUGGAGGAAUACCGAUGGCGAAGGCAGGCCCCUGGGUCGACACUGACGCUGAUGCGCGAAAGCGUGGGGAGCAAACAGG